This 502-nucleotide ribosomal RNA is filed under the name uncultured bacterium. RNAcentral describes it as "bacterial SSU rRNA". It matches the Rfam family "Bacterial small subunit ribosomal RNA", at positions 30 to 528 of the family's 1533-position model. The record is from RNAcentral.
AUUGAACGCUGGCGGAAUGCUUUACACAUGCAAGUCGAACGGCAGCACGGGGCAACCUGGUGGCGAGUGGCGAACGGGUGAGUAAUACAUCGGAACGUGCCCAAUCGUGGGGGAUAACGUAGCGAAAGUUACGCUAAUACCGCAUACGAUCUACGGAUGAAAGCGGGGGAUCGCAAGACCUCGCGCGAAUGGAGCGGCCGAUGUCAGAUUAGGUAGUUGGUGGGGUAAAGGCUCACCAAGCCAACGAUCUGUAGCUGGUCUGAGAGGACGACCAGCCACACUGGAACUGAGACACGGUCCAGACUCCUACGGGAGGCAGCAGUGGGGAAUUUUGGACAAUGGGCGCAAGCCUGAUCCAGCCAUUCCGCGUGCAGGAUGAAGGCCUUCGGGUUGUAAACUGCUUUUGUACGGAACGAAACGGUACUGCCCUAAUACGGCGGGCUAAUGACGGUACGUAACGAAUAAGCACCGGCUAACUACGUGCACAGCCGCGGUAAGGAGU